CUUGUAUGACACUUUUCAUGAACCAUUCAAGCGUUUUACCUUGCGCUCUCCUAUGCCAGGGCAACGAGCUAGAUCUUCCAUGGAUGCAUCCAUGAUAUUGGAAAGAGACCCGAAGGUAGACCCAAGCGUGACUACGUCAGUCUUGUUAACAUGUCGAACAGUUGUGAGAGCAUGGGUUAACCGUGAUAAAUAGUCUGUAUCCAUUUGGCCCUGAAUAAGAUCUGCAGGCUUGUUUUC
RNAcentral lists this unclassified non-coding RNA (237 nucleotides) under Hevea brasiliensis (rubber tree). The record is from RNAcentral. Lineage: Eukaryota; Viridiplantae; Streptophyta; Magnoliopsida; Malpighiales; Euphorbiaceae.